RNAcentral lists this unclassified non-coding RNA (340 nucleotides) under soil metagenome. RNAcentral describes it as "partial contains 5.8S ribosomal RNA, internal transcribed spacer 2, and large subunit ribosomal RNA". The stretch from base 1 to 120 matches the Rfam family "5.8S ribosomal RNA", at positions 35 to 154 of the family's 154-position model. The record is from RNAcentral.
GAUGAAGAACGUAGUGAAAUGCGAUAAGUAGUGUGAAUUGCAGAAUUCAGUGAAUCAUCGAAUCUUUGAACGCACAUUGCGCCCCUUGGUAUUCCAUGGGGCAUGCCUGUUCGAGCGUCAUCUACAACCCUCAAGCCCUGCUUGGUGUUGGGCGUCUGUCCCGCCCCCGCGCGCGGACUCGCCCCAAAUCCAUUGGCGGCGGCCCUUGCCUCCCUCUCGCGCAGCACAUUGCGCUUCUCGAGGCGUCGCGGGCCGCGCUCCACGAAGCACGCAAACCAGUCUUUGACCUCGGAUCAGGUAGGGAUACCCGCUGAACUUAAGCAUAUCAAUAAGCGGAGGA